CAUGGCUCAGAUUGAACGCUGGCGGCAGGCCUAACACAUGCAAGUCGAGCGGUAGCACAAGAGAGCUUGCUCUCUGGGUGACGAGCGGCGGACGGGUGAGUAAUGUCUGGGAAACUGCCUGAUGGCGGGGGAUAACUAGUGGAAACGGUAGCUAAUACCGCAUAACGUCGCAAGACCAAAGUGGGGGACCUUCGGGCCUCACGCCAUCAGAUGUGCCCAGGUGGGAUUAGCUGGUAGGUGGGGUAACGGCUCACCUAGGCGACGAUCCCUAGCUGGUCUGAGAGGAUGACCAGCCACACUGGAACUGAGACACGGUCCAGACUCCUACGGGAGGCAGCAGUGGGGAAUAUUGCACAAUGGGCGCAAGCCUGAUGCAGCCAUGCCGCGUGUGUGAAGAAGGCCUUCGGGUUGUAAAGCACUUUCAGCGAGGAGGAAGGGUAAUGUGUUAAUAAGACAUUGCA
RNAcentral lists this ribosomal RNA (461 nucleotides) under Serratia symbiotica. RNAcentral's name for it is "bacterial SSU rRNA". It matches the Rfam family "Bacterial small subunit ribosomal RNA", at positions 18 to 479 of the family's 1533-position model. Lineage: Bacteria; Pseudomonadati; Pseudomonadota; Gammaproteobacteria; Enterobacterales; Yersiniaceae. The record is from RNAcentral.